ACCUACGGGACGCAGCAGUGAGGAAUAUUGGUCAAUGGCCGGAAGGCUGAACCAGCCAAGCCGCGUGAAGGACGAAGGUGCCAAGCAUUGUAAACUUCUUUUGUCAAGGGACAAAAUCAGGCUCGAGAGCCUGACCGAGGGUACUUGAAGAAAAAGCAUCGGCUAACUCCGUGCCAGCAGCCGCGGUAAUACGGAGGAUGCGAGCGUUAUCCGGAUUUAUUGGGUUUAAAGGGUGCGUAGGUUGUUUUUUAAGUCAGCGGUGAAAGUUUGUGGCUCAACCAUAAAAUUGCCGUUGAAACUGGAAG
RNAcentral lists this ribosomal RNA (305 nucleotides) under uncultured bacterium. RNAcentral describes it as "bacterial SSU rRNA". It matches the Rfam family "Bacterial small subunit ribosomal RNA", at positions 337 to 639 of the family's 1533-position model. The record is from RNAcentral.